Molecule: ribosomal RNA, 110 nt
Filed under: Pogona vitticeps (central bearded dragon)
Lineage: Eukaryota; Metazoa; Chordata; Lepidosauria; Squamata; Agamidae
Source: RNAcentral
GAUUUUUUUAAUGCUACCUUGAUCACACUCGUCUCAUCAGACUUUGGAAGUAAGCAGGGCAAGCCAGGGUUCUACUUGGAUGGGAGACCACCAUGGGAUACCAGAGAUCU